CCUGGCGGCCGUAGCGCGGUGGUCCCACCUGACCCCAUGCCGAACUCAGAAGUGAAACGCCGUAGCGCCGAUGGUAGUGUGGGGUCUCCCCAU
RNAcentral lists this ribosomal RNA (93 nucleotides) under Citrobacter koseri. Lineage: Bacteria; Pseudomonadati; Pseudomonadota; Gammaproteobacteria; Enterobacterales; Enterobacteriaceae. The record is from RNAcentral. RNAcentral also lists the same sequence under 23 other names.